This 435-nucleotide ribosomal RNA is filed under the name Salmonella enterica subsp. enterica serovar Stanley. RNAcentral's name for it is "bacterial SSU rRNA". It matches the Rfam family "Bacterial small subunit ribosomal RNA", at positions 37 to 468 of the family's 1533-position model. The record is from RNAcentral. Lineage: Bacteria; Pseudomonadati; Pseudomonadota; Gammaproteobacteria; Enterobacterales; Enterobacteriaceae.
UGGCGGCAGGCCUAACACAUGCAAGUCGAACGGUAACAGGAAGCAGCUUGCUGCUUCGCUGACGAGUGGCGGACGGGUGAGUAAUGUCUGGGAAACUGCCUGAUGGAGGGGGAUAACUACUGGAAACGGUGGCUAAUACCGCAUAACGUCGCAAGACCAAAGAGGGGGACCUUCGGGCCUCUUGCCAUCAGAUGUGCCCAGAUGGGAUUAGCUUGUUGGUGAGGUAACGGCUCACCAAGGCGACGAUCCCUAGCUGGUCUGAGAGGAUGACCAGCCACACUGGAACUGAGACACGGUCCAGACUCCUACGGGAGGCAGCAGUGGGGAAUAUUGCACAAUGGGCGCAAGCCUGAUGCAGCCAUGCCGCGUGUAUGAAGAAGGCCUUCGGGUUGUAAAGUACUUUCAGCGGGGAGGAAGGUGUUGUGGUUAAUAACC